AGAGUUUGAUCCUGGCUCAGGACGAACGCUGGCGGCGUGCCUAAUACAUGCAAGUCGAACGAACUCUGGUAUUGAUUGGUGCUUGCAUCAUGAUUUACAUUUGAGUGAGUGGCGAACUGGUGAGUAACACGUGGGAAACCUGCCCAGAAGCGGGGGAUAACACCUGGAAACAGAUGCUAAUACUGCAUAACAACUUGGACCGCAUGGUCCGAGCUUGAAAGAUGGCUUCGGCUAUCACUUUUGGAUGGUCCCGCGGCGUAUUAGCUAGAUGGUGGGGUAACGGCUCACCAUGGCAAUGAUACGUAGCCGACCUGAGAGGGUAAUCGGCCACAUUGGGACUGAGACACGGCCCAAACUCCUACGGGAGGCAGCAGUAGGGAAUCUUCCACAAUGGACGAAAGUCUGAUGGAGCAACGCCGCGUGAGUGAAGAAGGGUUUCGGCUCGUAAAACUCUGUUGUUAAAGAAGAACAUAUCUGAGAGUAACUGUUCAGGUAUUGACGGUAUUUAACCAGAAAGCCACGGCUAACUACGUGCCAGCAGCCGCGGUAAUACGUAGGUGGCAAGCGUUGUCCGGAUUUAUUGGGCGUAAAGCGAGCGCAGGCGGUUUUUUAAGUCUGAUGUGAAAGCCUUCGGCUCAACCGAAGAAGUGCAUCGGAAACUGGGAAACUUGAGUGCAGAAGAGGACAGUGGAACUCCAUGUGUAGCGGUGAAAUGCGUAGAUAUAUGGAAGAACACCAGUGGCGAAGGCGGCUGUCUGGUCUGUAACUGACGCUGAGGCUCGAAAGUAUGGGUAGCAAACAGGAUUAGAUACCCUGGUAGUCCAUACCGUAAACGAUGAAUGCUAAGUGUUGGAGGGUUUCCGCCCUUCAGUGCUGCAGCUAACGCAUUAAGCAUUCCGCCUGGGGAGUACGGCCGCAAGGCUGAAACUCAAAGGAAUUGACGGGGGCCCGCACAAGCGGUGGAGCAUGUGGUUUAAUUCGAAGCUACGCGAAGAACCUUACCAGGUCUUGACAUACUAUGCAAAUCUAAGAGAUUAGACGUUCCCUUCGGGGACAUGGAUACAGGUGGUGCAUGGUUGUCGUCAGCUCGUGUCGUGAGAUGUUGGGUUAAGUCCCGCAACGAGCGCAACCCUUAUUAUCAGUUGCCAGCAUUAAGUUGGGCACUCUGGUGAGACUGCCGGUGACAAACCGGAGGAAGGUGGGGAUGACGUCAAAUCAUCAUGCCCCUUAUGACCUGGGCUACACACGUGCUACAAUGGAUGGUACAACGAGUUGCGAACUCGCGAGAGUAAGCUAAUCUCUUAAAGCCAUUCUCAGUUCGGAUUGUAGGCUGCAACUCGCCUACAUGAAGUCGGAAUCGCUAGUAAUCGCGGAUCAGCAUGCCGCGGUGAAUACGUUCCCGGGCCUUGUACACACCGCCCGUCACACCAUGAGAGUUUGUAACACCCAAAGUCGGUGGGGUAACCUUUUAGGAACCAGCCGCCUAAGGUGGGACAGAUGAUUAGGGUGAAGUCCUAACAAGGUAA
Molecule: ribosomal RNA, 1526 nt
Filed under: Lactiplantibacillus plantarum
Lineage: Bacteria; Bacillati; Bacillota; Bacilli; Lactobacillales; Lactobacillaceae
Description: Lactobacillus plantarum partial 16S ribosomal RNA
Rfam family: Bacterial small subunit ribosomal RNA
Source: RNAcentral